UNNCUAGGACGACGCUGGCGGCGUGCCUAACACAUGCAAGUCGAGCGAAGAAGCUCCUUCGGGAGGUUCUUAGCGGCGGACGGGUGAGUAACACGUGGGUAACCUGUCUCAAAGAGGGGGAUAGCCUCCCGAAAGGGAGAUUAAUACCGCAUAAUAAGUGCGGUUCGCAUGAGCCGCACUUUAAAGGAGAAAUCCGCUUUGAGAUGGACCCGCGGCGCAUUAGCUAGUUGGUAGGGCAGCGGCUUACCAAGGCAACGAUGCGUAGCCGACCUGAGAGGGUGAACGGCCACAUUGGAACUGAGAGACGGUCCAGACUCCUACGGGAGGCAGAGUGGGGAAAAUUGCACAAUGGGCGAAAGCCUGAUGCACAACGCCGCGUGAGUGAAGAAGGGUUUCGGAUUGGAAAGCUUCUGUCUCUGGGACGAUAAUGACGGUACCAGAUGAGGAAGGCCCGGGUAACUACGUGCCCACCCGCCGCGGUAAUUCGUAGGGGGGCAGCGUUGUCCGGAAUUACCUGGGCGUAAAGGGUGCCCAGGCGGACAUUUUAAUGAGAUGUGAAAAAACCCGGGCUUAACUUGGGCAGGGCAUUUUUAACUGGAUGUCUGGAGUGCAGGAGAAGAGAAACGGAAUUUCCUAGUGUAGCGGUGAAAUGCGUAGAAAUUUAGAAGAAAACCCCUGGCGAAAGCGGUUCUUCUGGACUGUAACUGACGCUGAAGCACAAAGCGUGGGGUAGCAAACAAGAUUAGAUACCCCGGGAGUCCACCCCCGUAAACGAUGAGUACUAAGUGGUAGGAGGGAUCGACCCCCUCUGUGCCGCCACUAAAAACCAAAAAGUACUCCUCCCCUGGGGGAGUACGAUCCCCAGAAUAAAAAAUCUAAAGAAAUUGACGGGGGGCCCCCCCCACACAAGCGGAGCAUGUUGGUGUUAUUUCUUAGCAACGC
RNAcentral lists this ribosomal RNA (942 nucleotides) under uncultured Caloramator sp. RNAcentral's name for it is "partial 16S ribosomal RNA". It matches the Rfam family "Bacterial small subunit ribosomal RNA", at positions 21 to 962 of the family's 1533-position model. Lineage: Bacteria; Bacillati; Bacillota; Clostridia; Eubacteriales; Clostridiaceae. The record is from RNAcentral.